This 522-nucleotide long non-coding RNA is filed under the name Vigna radiata. RNAcentral's name for it is "long non-coding RNA (VRAD_LNC003180)". Lineage: Eukaryota; Viridiplantae; Streptophyta; Magnoliopsida; Fabales; Fabaceae. The record is from RNAcentral.
AGAGAGAGAGAGAGAGUGUGAACAAGAAACAAGUUCAAGAAUAUCAACAAUACCAAUAAAUUCAACCAAUUUAUAGUCCAUAAAAAACAAAAACAAAAUUAACCUUCUUGGAGGUGGGUUCGCCGGAAUAGACCAUUGCCGCCAAUAAGGGAGAAAGGAGAACACCUAUGCUCCAAAGAGUACUUGUGUACAAAAACAAUUGAUCAAAACUAUAGAAAAUCAUAUCUAAAGUUGUUAUUCAACAUGUAGUUGUAUAAAAUGAAAGAAAGAUUAUCGCCAAAAGCUUCGUCCAAGAAGAGUUUGAACAGAGAAAAGGGUUUCACGCAAAGAUAAAGUGAAUGAAUUUUCAACCUCCCACUCAAAUUUUUAAUGAAUUAACCAACAUAAGGCAUUUGACAUUAUAUGUGAAUAUAUUUUUACCUUCGUGUUAAAGAAUUUUAUGAAAAUGAUCAAAUAUGAUUUCGAAAAUUAAGAAUUCUAACAUCUAAUGACUAUAUAAAAUCGGAACAUAUAAAUACUCUG